This 550-nucleotide ribosomal RNA is filed under the name uncultured bacterium. RNAcentral describes it as "bacterial SSU rRNA". It matches the Rfam family "Bacterial small subunit ribosomal RNA", at positions 993 to 1388 of the family's 1533-position model. The record is from RNAcentral.
CACUACUCCCCUCGUUGUCGUCCGUUGCCCUACCCCACCGGAACUACUUACCCGAAAGAAGGAAGGACCGUGUGGAAGACGUAGGACUACCAGACGUACCGGACGGGACAUGUACGAACCCGGUAGGGAACGCGGUGGGGACCGACCUCCAACCCUAAGUUCUUCCGUUCGGACGCGAAGACGAGGUGGUGCAGUGGUUGUCGUCAGCUCGUGUCGUGAGAUGGUUAGGGUUAACGUCCCGACAACGAGCGACCAACCUUACUCAUUUAGUUGACUACGACAAGAGACACUACUAAUGAGACUCGUCCGUUGAAGUAAACGGAAGGAAGGGUAGGGAGUAGACGUACAAUACAUCAUCGCCCUUAUGACCUGGGCUACACACGUACUACAAUGGUGAUCAAACAGAGGGAAGCAACACAGCGAUGUGAAGCAAAUCCCGAAAAAUCAUCUCAGUUCAGAUUGCAGGCUGCAACUCGCCUGCAUGAAGUCGGAAUUGCUAGUAAUCGCGGAUCAGCAUGCCGCGGUGAAUACGUUCCCGGGCCUUGUACAC